AGUUUCAAUUUCGUUUGUUGGUUUUAUUUUUCCGUUUUUUUUUUUACAUUUAGUUCUCCUUACUAUGGGAAUUUUUUCGGUUGAAUCGCAUACAGGCCGUUCACAUAAUUGUCAACAAAUCUAAUUUGAAAAUUGGAACAAAUGAACUACACAAUAACCAACGUAUGGACAUCAUCAUUAAAACAAUUUUGACGCACCUGUCGUCGUUUCAUUCUUUUAUCAACGAGUGAAUAUCGUCAUCGUCAUCAUCAUUAUUAUCAUCUAAAGUGAUUCGCACAUGAGAUUAUGAUCAUCCAGGCAAAUACAUACAAUUUGAAUACCUGUUUGUGUAUAUGUUUUCCAUAUUAACUGAUAUAAAUAUUAUUCAGAAAAAUCAAGAUUAAAUUUUCUUUUCGAAAAAAUGAUUAAAUUGUAUAGAUUUUUAUUGUUAUGGGGAACCAUAAUAAUCGUAAAAAAUAUCAGAUGAAGAUGGCUUGUCCAAAAUCAUCAUCAACAACAAUAACAACAACAACAACAACAACAUCGACAAUGAACAAUAUGACCACAAAAACUAUUGCCAAUAACAAAAGCGUCGAUGAUGACGCUGACGACAAGAUAAUGGUGAUGAUGACAACCACCACCAUGAAGAAGAAACUACCAUCACAAAACAGCACACACAAAUAUAUUUGGAUGGCCAAUCUAAUUUAAUUUCGAACAUUUUGACCCGAAUAACCGCUACAAAUAGAAGAAAAAAGAAAAGACGAAUAAAAAAUAAUGAUAAUCAUCAUCGUUAUCCAAUAAAUAAUGUUGAUCUACAAUCAUCACCUGAUCAAAUCUUAUCAUUACCAUCAACAUUAUUUUCCUAUCCUUGUUUAGCAUCACUUUCAUUAUGUGCCACCACUAUCAAUGUUCAUUACUGUCAUUCGAAUGUUGCAUUGAUGAUGAUGAAACCUAAACAUUGUGAUUCCAUAACAACGGCCGUAGAUUAUGGUUAUAACAAUUUUAAUGAAAAAUCGAGAACUACAACUAGCAUAUAUAUCGAUUAUUGGUCUCGAAUUUUUAU
This is a non-coding RNA of Dermatophagoides farinae (American house dust mite), 1042 nucleotides long. The record is from RefSeq and is a predicted model, not a curated record. Lineage: Eukaryota; Metazoa; Arthropoda; Arachnida; Sarcoptiformes; Pyroglyphidae.